Molecule: ribosomal RNA, 401 nt
Filed under: uncultured bacterium
Lineage: Bacteria
Description: bacterial SSU rRNA
Rfam family: Bacterial small subunit ribosomal RNA
Source: RNAcentral
AGCGAACGCUGGCGGCAGGCUUAACACAUGCAAGUCGAACGGGCGUAGCAAUACGUCAGUGGCAGACGGGUGAGUAACGCGUGGGAACGUACCUUUUGGUUCGGAACAACCCAGGGGAAACUUGGGCUAAUACCGGAUAAGCCCUUACGGGGAAAGAUUUAUCGCCGAAAGAUCGGCCCGCGUCUGAUUAGCUAGUUGGUGUGGUAACGGCGCACCAAGGCGACGAUCAGUAGCUGGUCUGAGAGGAUGAUCAGCCACAUUGGGACUGAGACACGGCCCAAACUCCUACGGGAGGCAGCAGUGGGGAAUAUUGGACAAUGGGCGCAAGCCUGAUCCAGCCAUGCCGCGUGAGUGAUGAAGGCCCUAGGUUGUAAAGCUCUUUUGUGCGGGAAGAUAAUGAC